UUGAUGCGAGGACAAGACGGAUUAUUAUUUUGGAAAAAUGGUGAAGAGUGCAUUCGGUUAAUGCACGGGCGCAUUGAAUGAAAUUAAGCCGAUUGACCAGGAUUUCGAAACGUCGAAUGUGGUUGAGGUUUGAGAAAUCCAAGUAAUUUAUUCGUUCGGUGUCUAUUUUAUUCCAGACCAGACUUCCCUAAAGGAGUUAAAUGCCUGACAGCAAUCCCUGGAGAAUCUCUGUAAUUAAAGGCUUUCAAACAUUGCGUAUCUUCCAAGACAAUUGAACUAUCAACAUCAAAAAUAAUUGGAGGUGGCUUGAGGAUGUUCGACAUGCACAUAAAUAUAUAAUAUUACAUUAUAUUAUAAUCCAAAUUUAUGGUUUUAAAAUUUCUUGACAAAUUAUCGAUAAGAUUUUCAUGUAAAAAAAUAUAACAUUUAAUGGUUCAUCAAGUUUUACGGUGGUGCGAUGAUUUUCAUGUAUUUUCUCUCGAGUGUUGCGAUUCUUUUUAUAAACAA
Molecule: long non-coding RNA, 507 nt
Organism: Fopius arisanus
Lineage: Eukaryota; Metazoa; Arthropoda; Insecta; Hymenoptera; Braconidae
Exons: 4
Source: RefSeq, a predicted model, not a curated record